GACGAACGCUGGCGGCGUGCUUAACACAUGCAAGUCGAACGGAAAGGCCCUGCUUUUGUGGGGUGCUCGAGUGGCGAACGGGUGAGUAACACGUGAGUAACCUGCCCUUGACUUUGGGAUAACUUCAGGAAACUGGGGCUAAUACCGGAUAGGAGCUCCUGCUGCAUGGUGGGGGUUGGAAAGUUUCGGCGGUUGGGGAUGGACUCGCGGCUUAUCAGCUUGUUGGUGGGGUAGUGGCUUACCAAGGCUUUGACGGGUAGCCGGCCUGAGAGGGUGACCGGCCACAUGGGGACUGGGAUACGGCCCAGACUCCUACGGAGGCAGCAGUGGGGAAUAUUGCACAAUGGGCGGAAGCCUGAUGCAGCAACGCCGCGUGCGGGAUGACGGCCUUCGGGUUGUAAACCGCUUUCGCCUGUGACGAAGCGUGAGUGACGGUAAUGGGUAAAGAAGCACCGGCUAACUACGUG
This 467-nucleotide ribosomal RNA is filed under the name uncultured bacterium. RNAcentral's name for it is "partial 16S ribosomal RNA". It matches the Rfam family "Bacterial small subunit ribosomal RNA", at positions 28 to 507 of the family's 1533-position model. The record is from RNAcentral.